This 108-nucleotide non-coding RNA is filed under the name unclassified sequences. The record is from RNAcentral.
CUAGACCAUGAGUAAUGCCGUUACGUGGCGGUCUAGAUAAGUAAUGUAAAGAUUGAGAUAAGAGGGUGUAACCUCCUUACCGCCAAUAUUAUAUGAAACUAAAUUGCU